Molecule: long non-coding RNA, 1003 nt
Organism: Mercurialis annua (annual mercury)
Lineage: Eukaryota; Viridiplantae; Streptophyta; Magnoliopsida; Malpighiales; Euphorbiaceae
Exons: 3
Source: RefSeq, a predicted model, not a curated record
GCUUGCACUUUGUAAAAGUUUCUUAAUCACAAAGCAUCUGAAUACCACUUUCAGCGUAUUUCAGUUCUGUUCAUCUUAUUCCAUUCUAGUCCAUUAUUUUUUCCACCCAUCCUAGUUUAUUCCGAAAACAGGAAAAGCUUGUAAAUAAACUAAGAUUAGUUAGAGGGCAAAUAAUUAAUUAUCUGAAACCGAACAGGUAGCUGGAACAUCAUCGCUUUGACAAACUCUCAACCAACCAACAAAGCAAUUUUCCAAAGCUUCUUGUUUCUUAUUUCCGUUUUUUAAAAUCAAUCGCUAGAUUUAGGGUUUUCUCAAUUUUUUCUCUUUUUCUAGAUUUUUAACGCAGGAAAAUCAACAAUCACGACCACGACCACAUCCAAGGAAGUAUCACAGAAAACAUCAGACGGGAUGACAUUUGAGAUGGCAAAAGCGGUGGCUUUGGCUUCACCGACAGUGUUAUUCAUAUGCUGAAAGUCACCGGGGAUAUACUCUCUAUGGUUCUCAAGUAUGCCAAUAAACAUUAUCCGGCUCCUGCUACUCCUUUUUCUCAUGAUGAGUUUGCUCUUUGGUUGAAUACAGGUAUAGCCGGAACUGCAUUGUUCUUAAGCCAUGUCGAAAUUCCAGAUAGGAAAUGAUACCACUGUCAACUCUCUCUCGCACUAUUGGUAGCAAGCCAUCUGGAAAUAGACUUCACUAUAAUACCAUAUGCUUGAGGUAAAGACACUCUUGGAAAAUGUAAUUCCUUUUAUAUACUUGAGAAACUUGCCGACGCUUCUCUGAACCAAAAAUUAUUAUGCAUGAGUAUUCAGAAAUCAUAUGUAAGUCAAAGUUCUUAUAAUGUACGGUCAUUAGUUGCGACAAUAAUUGCGAUUAUCUUGGAAUUCUUGAUUUUUUAUGCAAAUAUUGAAAUAGAUGGGAGAAUAUAAUGAUAAUUGUUAUAGAUAUUCCCCAAUGCAGUUUUGCAGAAACUGCAAUUGUUCUUGAGCCAUAUUUAAAAAUCCAG